Dicentrarchus labrax (European seabass) is the source of this 7706-nucleotide long non-coding RNA. RefSeq lists it as uncharacterized. The transcript is spliced from 2 exons. The record is from RefSeq and is a predicted model, not a curated record. Lineage: Eukaryota; Metazoa; Chordata; Actinopteri; Moronidae.
GCAGUCUGUAUAAGAGAACAUACUGUAUGCCAUGAGCUUUUAUUGGGACCUGUAACUCGCAGGGGUAGGAGGUGGCCUUCAGAGGUAUUGGUCUUAAUAGGCUGCAAUGGUUUUGUCAAUAAAAGCCCCACUUUGCAAUAAAACUCAAAUAGCCUUUCUCUGAAUGCCCCAGAGCAGUGGUUAAAACUGUGAGGAAGGGAAGUGCGGAAGAGUCAAGGGGAGCCGUGUUGCCCUAUUGAUAUGGCAGGCAUAGUCAUCUCCGGUGGUCCCCAGAAAAAUUUGCAAUAUCACAGUAAUCUAAAUCACUACACAUUUUCUCAGUUAAAAGAUUUUAAAUAAUUUGUCAUAGAAUUCACUUUGUUGACCAUUAACCCUUUUGGCAACAUAGUAUAUACAAAUUCAAUUUCAAACAAAUAUUUAUCUCAAAUUGGGUUUGUUUUUGGCGAGAUCAUUAUAUGAAAUCACUGACGGCACUUUAAUGUACAGUUCACUGUGUCAAUGAUACUGAUAUUGCUGUUGACUUAUAUUUGUGACCAACUGAUGCAAUUUAUAUAUUUUAAUAUUAAAAAUCACACUCCUUCUACAAACUACCGUCUGAGUCAGUGUGACAUUUUCAGAGGAAAUGGGAUCUCGCUUUAGAAGUCAUAGAAUAAAGAUACUACUCAUGACUUCAGCUCUUGCCUUGUAAUCAUUACAUUAGGAACUUUUCUUAAGUAUAAAAAGUAAUUCGGUGGAUUUUAUGACUCUUCAUGGUGCCAAUUGGCCAAAAUGUAAAGAAAUGGGACAAAAAUGGGGCUAAAAAUUUACGGCUAACUCACUGACAUAUAUUGCCUGCUCGUAUCAGCCAAAGUAUUUCGGGGACUGUAGUUCCAAAACUUGGAAAUUUUUUCUUCCAAAUAGAAGUAAGAAAAAAAAUAUGAUGCAAUAAUAUUUGAUUUUUUUGUUUUUGUUUUGCACUAUUAAAGCAUUUUUUGUUGGUACUAUGGCCCAAAAUUUCUCAUCAACAUGGUUCUUAUAACCCUAGAAAAACACUGAUACUCUCCUCUAUAGACAUUUCCUAUAUGUCAAAAACAUGUAGGCUUACAGGCAAGAAAUCUAAGAAUUUUAAAUAUAUGCAUAAAACAAUCACACUGGCCUGAAAUAAUGUCCUACUAACCCAACUUAUUCUAUCAAACAAGAGCCUUUUCAAGCAAAAAUAGCCAAUUAAAAGGAUUAAUGCCUACUAAAGGAGUAUUUAGAUUGUAUAGAGAAUAGUGUUGUCACGAUACCAAAAUUAUUGUUUCGAUAGCGAUACCAAGUCAAGAAUUGAGAUUUCGAUGAAGAAAAUGAAAAUAGUUUGUGUGUGAUAGUAACAAUAACUUGUGACUAACUUAGCAUCUCUAUAUGCAGUGGUUAUAGUGAUAACUGCUAACAUUUACUUAACCAUAACAUUACCAUAAUUAAUAAUAGGAAAUAGUGAGUUAACCUAAUGUUAUUUAAGCUGUGAUAUAUGGAUUAAUAUAGGCUAAUGUUUCCUGUACUUCAAUGUCUGAUUUCUUUGAUGGUUAACUUUAUAUUUGAGUCCAUAAUUUCUUACAAGGCGUUUCACAAAUACACCUCCUUUGCGUAGGUCUGUGCUCUUUAAAUGCUGUAAUAACCCAAUAGAAAUAAAUCACUGACAAACAUGCACAUGCUCUGAUUAUAAUCAUAUAGCCUAUAUUUCAUUUUAGCUGAUGUUUUGUGUGCUUUAUUUUAGCAGUUUGCAAAUUAUUAACGUUAUCUGUGAAAGUUGCGUUUUCAGAGAUGUUGAAUUAGCCGUAGGCAGGCUAUUGGUUAGCCAUGAGGAUAAUGCCCAUAGUUAGCCUACUAUUUCUCUAGAUAGCCUCGUCAAACUACGGUGGUGCAAAAUAGUGACUUCUCACAAAAUAAACCAUAACCUUCUCAUUUGACUUAUUUAAGGGCAUGAACCUGGUCGUGUUAUCUUUCACAUACUAACCUGUCGGUCUUUAAACUUUUCCUACUACUCGGCGUGCUUGUCGGCCAAGUGUUUCUCCAGGUUCGAGGUGUUGGCUCCCAUUGUUUGCAUUUGUUUGUAGCACUGACGACAAACAGGUCUCGACUUAUCGGUAGCUUUGCCCUCACUGUCAGCAAUGUAGGCAAAGUACUUCCAUAUUUCACUCCUCGCGUCAUCUUUUUCUACCAGUCGUGGACCGGCGGCCACAGUAUCACUUGUGCUCGCACAUGCAGCGAUCUCGUUACAGUGUUUGUCACAUGACAGCUGCAGCUUCUUUGCUGCGUGCGUGAGGAGAAAAAACACGGAAGUCCAUAGGGAGACACUGGAAGCAUGCGUUGCACACACCAACAUGAAAUACGACUCUUUCAAAUCUGGAACGCGGUCAUUCUUAAAAGUAUCGAUACUAAUAAAUUUAGGAAUAGUGACGUUUUUAAUUUCUGAGAAUCGCGAUACUUUUGAAGUAUCAGUGCACCGUGCAACACUAAUAGAGCAAGCAUAAAAUAAAGCAGCUUCCUCUCAACAGUUGUAUAUGUAGUGGCACAGGGGGUGUUUUGUAAGUUUAUGUUACUCAUCUGAGAUUGUUGAUACAGUGGGGCUAACUACCCAUAUAAGGUUUACGAAAUAUUGCUUGUUGCUGGCAAUACCUAAGGCCUGGACACUGUACCCAGGACAUGCCAGAGACAAAUUCUGAGCUAAGUGUGAUGCAUGAGUAAAUGAAAAGUCUUCCCCUUCCCAUCAUCCUAAUUACAUCUAUUUUUGCGUGGUGAGAUAAUUGUCCUCAGUAUGUGGGGUGUAUUCUCCCUGUGAGGCUUUUAGGAGUGAGUACCACUCUGCUCUCAGUGAGUAAUUUGCCUCAACAAUGACAACUCUCCCCUUUAUACCCACCUCUUCAAAAGUCAUAGGUCUAAUUGUAUGCGUGGCACUGUAUGUGUUACCUGUAGCUGUUUGCUUGUUAAUGUGCAUGAAGUCAGAGCUGAGGAAGUAAAACCAAUCGACCCUCUCCUCAUUUACUGUCAGUCAGAUGUUGCUCUCUCCCCCUCUCAGUGAAGGCUUAAAUGCCCAGUGAGUCAUCACCAUCAUUUCCAUGUUUCCAUGUUUUAACAUAGUGUACGGGUGAUGUAAGUUGUUGGUGUGUUCACUGAUUGCAUUGAUCUGCAAUUUCUCUUGGCCCUAGGCAAUUUGGAUACAUUCACUGGAAAGAAAACCCUGGACUGAUUGAUAGCUGUGUUUUUAAAAGGAUGCAGCUCGAUCUACAAGCCUCCAUCACACUGUUAUAUGGACUGUACUACUACUAUGUUAGAGAUAUUCCUUCAUCGAAGAGAAAGUGAUAUGCUUGUUUUGACUUUCUCACAAAUAAAAGAAGGAGCGAGUCCUCUUCUACAGUGUCCACCAUGUUGAACUGCCAUCAUUCUACAGUAGCCCAGAACAGCAAACCAAAUACUAGAGUCUCAAGACCACCAUAGUUUCUCCUACAUGCUUGGAAAUGGAGGGUGAGGCAUUGGCGCUGCAAUCAGCAACCACACCACUGGAUGCCACUAAAUCCUACACACUGGUCCUUUUAAAAAAUUCAAUAAAACAUCUUUUAUAUCUACAGGGGGUGAGUGGCUGAUACACAAGGCAAUGAGAUUUUGGGUGGAGCAUUGUUUUAACUCUUUCCAGAUAGAAGAGUGAGAUCACAACCUCAAUGACUCACCAUAAAAUAUCUUGGAUGUGGUGUAGGUUUUACUUUAUGGCUGCACAUUUCUGGAUAGAAUAAGAAAAUCAUCAGUUUCUCACCCAGCAGAAUAUUAUGGUCAAGAUUUUUUUCCCACAGCUCUUAAGGAAGUCGUUUACAAAUGAAAACAUUUAUGGAAUUAAUUCUUGUCUUCAUAUGGACAGGAACGCAACAUACAAUAGGAUUGUGACCAAUAUUUAGAAUUGUUUCUAUUAUUUUGUCCACCACCAUUUUAAUGGGAUAACAAUAUAUAACAUUUUUAAAAAGUCGUCCAAGUUUAACAGGCUUGGAUGAUGCUCUCACUCAGACAGUCUUGACAAUCGCCACAACCAGGGCAAAGGGCCACAGGUCGGAUUGGAACCAUGGCUGUUGCAGCAAGGAUUCAGCCUUGGUACAUGGGGUGCUCUACCAGGUGAGCUAUAGUGUGCACCUCUUGGUAGCAAAUUGUGUGCCCCCUCCUUGUUAUCCAAGUUGAAAUAACUUUUGACCUAUCUUUAUACUGUGCAUCAAGCAUGGUUGCAACGGAAUAAAGGGCCUUGCUUUGCACACCAUUAAAGCAAUCACUGACGGCUUUUAAUAGGGUUCUUUUUAGCUGUUUGCUAUCUGAGUCACUUCUCCUGCCAAGCAGCCAGUGUCGGAUGACAUCUGCAGAACUGAUCUCUUCUCAGCUCUGAAAAUUAUCUGAGACUGGUUAUCGUGUCACGUGGCUCAGUAUAGUCCACAAAUUUGUGGAACCCGACAUAUUCAGCAAAUGAAAAUGGCUGGUUGUCCAGAGCAAUACUCCAAGAGUUUCUGAGUGAUGCCUUUGGGCCUGGGGUGGUUGCAGUCACAUUUUUUGCUUUUGUUAAAGAACUGGAGAAGAGGCUGCUGACAGUUGUUUUUCUACUGGUGCCUGUUUCACAUAUUUCUUACAGUGACCGUGAUGAAAGGGUAAAUAAAUUUGUAGCGUUAAAGGAAUGUGAUUUGUGUCCUCGUCGCAUAACAGAUGCUAAGCAAAUAUUGCAAUUAGUACUUGUCCCUCUUUUCCUCGAACAGAUACGAUGAAGUAAUUUUUGGCUCACGAAACACCCUCAUACCAGGGAGUGUCAACGAUGUAAGUUAAUGGUAAAAUUAUAGCAUCAUCUGAUCUUCCUCUCAUAUUGGAAGAAAUUUUCAUUUUAGGCAGAUGCUGAUGUUUAAUUUGCCUACAUCAUCGUGCAUAACUAAUAGAACUUAAAAAUCUUGGACUCGAUUGAAUGGCUGAGGAUUUUCUCGAUUCAUUGUUUGAUCAGUUUGUUUAUAAAAUGUCAGUAAAUACUAAAAAGUACACAUUACAAUUUCCCAAAGUUGAAUGUGACAUUUUCAAAUCACUUGCUCUGACCAACAGUCCUAAACCCAACAAUAUUAUAUAUAUAUAUAUAUAUAUAUAUAUAUAUUUAUAUAUAUAUAUAUAUCCUGCUAACCUAUAUAGUCUAUGUACUGGGAGUGCUUUAGACCAUUAUCUCUGCAGAGAGUGGUUACUACCUAUCCACCUCAGGCCCUUCCAUAAAGAUCCAUUUAUGGAUUUGAUUUCCUCUUUUGUAUAAAGACCAGAGGGGAGUUUGGUGGGGCUUGGCAAGUUUUCUUUGUCAAGCUUUGGCUUCAGCCUUGGUGAUUUAAUAAUGUGUCAUUGGCUGGCCCCUUCCUGAGUGUUUGGCUGAUGACUGUAUAGGACAGAGUAGGACGGAAUGAGAUGUGGCUAAAGACAAUGCUUUUAUGGACCUCAGGGAUGCACAGAGAGAAAUGGAGAAUCACCCUCCUUCCCUUCACUUUCAAACUCAUGACAGACUUAACUAUAGUUGAUUCACAUUUCAGAAAGUACACACUUGUGUAUGCUGAUGAUUUGGUUUUAGAAAAGAAAAGUAAUAUUUUUUCCAUUAGUUGUCAAAGAAAUAAUGAAAUGCUAUGUAUUUGUGGCCACUGUGUUUUACAAGAACUCUAAGCUGCUUAAAACAAACUACAGAACAUACCAAAUGUACAAUACAGUAUUUAAAGAUGGCAGCUUUGUAGCUAAGGUUGUUUUAACAAUAGUUAAUUCUACACACAACCAUAUAUUCACAGUUCAUUCAGGGUGUCAGAUCUGAUGGGCCCUUGGAUUGUCUGUUCCUAGUUCUACUGCUAGUGCUUUCCAUUAUUUGUGUACAAGAGUCCAACAUCCAACACAGCACAUCCCACUGAGUUGUGGUACUGUUCUGGGACAUUCAAAGACUACCAACUCCACUCUGGCCCCGUUAGUGUUAGCUGAAGAUGAAGGCUUGCAUACUUUCUCCAAUAAAUCCUUCUGAAUCAGAAUCAGCCUGUCAGGCUUGCCUGGAUGAGAAGCAGAGUUGGCCCAAGGCCUAUGGUGUCCAACUGUAACAGUCCAUCUCCAUCAGGGGAUACACUAAACCCCUUCAAAGGGCAGUGUUUAUUCCAGAGGCGCCUUUAAAAGCCCUGAGAAUUGGAUACAGGUAUCCCCACGUUGGGUAAGGGGGUUAUGGAGGUUGUAUAAUGGUGGUCAGCUGCUGCUCAUUCCCGCUCAAUAGCCUAAAGCCUGACUGACUCAUUAGCCAUUUCUUCGCUUCAUACAACUGCAGGGUGUUGCGCAAAGUCAUUUCUCAACUUCUGAACUAAAAUCACUAAUGCAAGUCAGACAUUUUCUCUGUUGAGUUCAAUGUCAGAAGUAAUAAUCAAAGUAAUAAUCCUUCAGAUUUUCAUGAAAUCAAACCUAUUUAUGGUUGACGUUUACAGCAACCGCCAUUCAGUGUAAUUAUAACUCCUCUGUAUCAUUGUAAGUGGUGGAGUCCACCAUUACAAACCUGGGGUUCAAAUUGCCCUCACACAUGAGGGAUUCAUAGGAACAAUACAUGUUAGUUUAUUUAAUUGAUAUUUACCUCACUGUUAACACAUUGUAUUUUAGCAAUAAUAGUAGAAAAUAUAAUAAUAAAAUUGAAUUAAACAGCUUAGGUUUAGAAACAUGUUGAAGAAUGAAAACUAGUUUAUAUCUUUUCUCAGUAGAAAUCCAGCUGGUUUGGAGGAGUGGCAUUGCUAUAUGCUAUAUCUUAGCUGAUAUAGCAAGUGAUAUUGGCACUUUCCUACCUCUGUCUGACUGCAACCCCCAAUCUGUGGGUGUUUCUGACAAACUCAGAUUUUUGUAUGACAGGAGACACAAUAUCAUCACUGCAAAUCUAAGCCCCUGCUGUGAAGUAUUUUUGAAUAGGAAAGAAGAAGCAUUUUGGCACUGCCAGUUUGACAUAUUUUUAUUCUGACAUUUAAGCAUAUGACAUAUAAUGAUGCACUUCCCAAAAGAUAAACACCGAUUUGAAUGAAAUCUGAGUUGUGUGGCCAUUCUCCAUUCAGCUGUGGUGGCAGGCAGGCAGACUACUGUACUUUUCUCCCACUUCCAGUAAAUGUAUUUAGAGGAGAUUACAGAUGUGAUCCAGACAAAAGAGCAAACUCCCUGGUUCUGUCUGACUGGUUGUCUGUAGUUGGGCAGAGAAUAGAUCUUGAGGUUGUAAUCUUGAUGGACACGAACAAUCACAUUGUCACUUCAUCAAUACACUGAGAUGACCAGAAAGAAAGAUACCAUGUGAUGUUUUUUGAGGUCAUUGGUGGGAUUUUCUUUCCUCUUUGUUCUUCUGCAUAACAUGCUCUCAAAUGAAUAUUGUAAGAAAGACAAUUGAGCUUUUCAGUCAUGCCUGCAUAGAAGCAAGUUUGUGUAAAUGCUGUGAUUGUGUGUUGAUCUAGACGAGAAAAGAAAACUCUCAUAAUGUGUGGGCCUUCCACCUGCCUGUCAAUUCAGAAGGGAUAACAUCCAUAACCAGCUUUGCUCCAGGCCCAGCUUAUUCAUGUACACUCCUGUUCAACUUCAGCAUUCCCAAGUUUGUACGUUUUUCCAGUAGAUGAGACUGAACUUGAGCCGAAGAAAACACCAGUUCCCUAUGUAAGAUAGGUGCCAGGUAUGGCAUGCAAUAAUGAAAUAAAAGAAUCUUUAAAACAAGA